ACUUCUACGGGAGGCAGCAGUAGGGAAUCUUCCACAAUGGGCGCAAGCCUGAUGGAGCAACACCGCGUGAGUGAAGAAGGGUUUCGGCUCGUAAAGCUCUGUUGUUAAAGAAGAACACGUAUGAGAGUAACUGUUCAUACGUUGACGGUAUUUAACCAGAAAGUCACGGCUAACUACGUGCCAGCAGCCGCGGUAAUACGUAGGUGGCAAGCGUUAUCCGGAUUUAUUGGGCGUAAAGAGGGUGCAGGCGGUUUUCUAAGUCUGAUGUGAAAGCCUUCGGCUUAACCGGAGAAGUGCAUCGGAAACUGGAUAACUUGAGUGCAGAAGAGGGUAGUGGAACUCCAUGUGUAGCGGUGGAAUGCGUAGAUAUAUGGAAGAACACCAGUGGCGAAGGCGGCUACCUGGUCUGCAACUGACGCUGAGACUCGAAAGCAUGGGUAGCGAACAGGAUUAGAUACCCUGGUAGGAUAGCG
Molecule: ribosomal RNA, 473 nt
Filed under: uncultured bacterium
Lineage: Bacteria
Description: bacterial SSU rRNA
Rfam family: Bacterial small subunit ribosomal RNA
Source: RNAcentral